CCUACGGGAGGCAGCAGUGGGGAAUAUUGGACAAUGGGCGCAAGCCUGAUCCAGCAAUGCCGCGUGAGUGAUGAAGGCCUUCGGGUUGUAAAGCUCUUUCGCCCGCGACGAUGAUGACGGUAGCGGGAGAAGAAGCCCCGGCUAACUUCGUGCCAGCAGCCGCGGUAAUACGAAGGGGGCGAGCGUUGUUCGGAAUCACUGGGCGUAAAGGGCGCGUAGGCGGCUUGGUUUGUCGCGUGUGAAAGCCCCGGGCUCAACCUGGGAGGUGCGCGCGAGACGGCCGGGCUUGGAGUUCGGGAGAGGAGCGUGGAAUUCCCAGUGUAGAGGUGAAAUUCGUAGAUAUUGGGAAGAACACCGGUGGCGAAGGCGGCGCUCUGGACCGAGACUGACGCUGAGGCGCGAAAGCGUGGGGAGCAAACAGGGUUAGAUACCCUGGUAGUCCACGCUGUAAACGAUGUGUGCUAGACGUUGGGGGGCCUAGCCUCUCGGUGUCGCAGCUAACGCGGUAAGCACACCGCCUGGGGAGUACGGCCGCAAGGUUAAAACUCAAAGGAAUUGACGG
RNAcentral lists this ribosomal RNA (562 nucleotides) under uncultured bacterium. RNAcentral's name for it is "bacterial SSU rRNA". It matches the Rfam family "Bacterial small subunit ribosomal RNA", at positions 338 to 916 of the family's 1533-position model. The record is from RNAcentral.